Pseudopipra pipra is the source of this 6767-nucleotide long non-coding RNA. RefSeq lists it as uncharacterized. NCBI's taxonomy places the organism in Eukaryota, Metazoa, Chordata, Aves, Passeriformes, Pipridae. The transcript has 3 exons. The record is from RefSeq and is a predicted model, not a curated record.
CUCCAUGCUAUUGUCAAAUACAGUGUUGUUUUAAAAAUCAUAGGAAUGUAAUUGCAGAUAAAAGCAGGCUGGGUAGGGCAGGGAACAUCCUAUCAAGUCGUAUUUGCAGGACUUGGCUUGAGAACAGCCCAGAGUGGUCCAGCUCUGGUGUCAUGCCAUAAGAGCAGACUUACUGCAAGCUCCAUCCUUUGUUAAAGGAGGCAUUUAAAACCAGCUACAAUGGUUUUGUUUUGCUUUAAUCAUUAAUCAAAGGCAAAUAAAAUGCAAUGAAGGAAAGCAAGCGCGCGCACCAUCGCACAAAUACAAGCAGGUAUUUGAAACGCAGGCCAGGUUACCAUGGCCAAUUCGGGGGAAUGGAAGUGGGGAGAGGGAGGAAAGGAGCUUGGAAAGCAAAACUUUGCUUUUAUUGGGGGAUUGCAUUCACAGCAGAGAUUUCCACGUUUUUACUUCACAUGAGCAAAAAAUAUCAUUGUCUCUGCAGAAGGUGGCUUGACACGUUACAGUAUGGGAUGAGGUGGUUUGAGCUGUGAGGUUUUAGACACAUUUGUGCUGGAAAAAUUCCUGAGACUACCUCCCCAAGUCUCUUUUUUUCUAUAGGCACUAAUUUUCCUGUGUCACUGCAGUCUAGCUUACUCAGCAGUACACUGCUGCAAGUUUGUUUUAUUUGCAAGGAGUACAUCAGCACUGAAGGCAAACCUCACUGGCAAAGCUGACAGUGUGCUCCUCUAAAAACCAAAGGACUUGAUGAAGAAGGAGGGAGUCCAGGCUGGUCUCCUAGGUUUUAUAACAGUCAGUCCUGAAAACUGAAAGUGAGAUCUAAAAGAAGAAUUAGCGAGGGGGAGGGAAAACAGCUUGUUUCAUCGAUUCUUAGAUUUGUAGAUUAUGGCUAUUAGUAAAAAUGACAGCACCUCUAGUCAAUGGGGUACAGGCUCAAAGCCUAUUAAUGCACUACAAGUAACAUGAUCUGGGGAUAUGAAAAGAGAAAAAUCACAGUGUGAGAUUUAAAUCCUAGUUUCGACUUUGAAAGCCGCUGUUUCAAGAGGGAGAAGUCCAAUACUCCCCAUUCACAUGUUAAUUCACUUGUUUCAACAAACUGCUAUUCUCCUUCACCUCUUCACAUUAGCAUAAAAUGAGAAGCUUGAAUCUGCAUUUUUCAAAAGACGACCAGAUUUCAAAAUUUCCAAAAUGGAACUACUCGGCGAUGGUUCAUACAUUCUAAAUGCCAGAGUAUUGUAAACGCAAUACUCAUUUGCCUCCUGCAUCCAGAAUGUAAUUUCCAUUUUUAUUUUAAUCGCUAGUGAUCCAUUGUUCCAAGUUUCUUUAAAUAAAUGUCCCCCACUGCUGCCCAUAGCUUCUGCAGAAACAGUUUUGAAUAUUUUGCAGGCAAAAAUAGCAGAAGUGUUGAAAUUCAUACCAUUCCUCUCCAGAGUAGAUGACUGAUGAAAUGCAUAUAUCCAAGCCAGAAAUAAAUAGCAAAUGAGAUUAUCCUUAUAUUGAUUUCUCUGCAUUACAUUCUGAUUAACCAGCAAAUCAAAGACUUUUUUUUCCACCUGCUCCACCAAGAUCACAUUCUUCAUUCUCUGCAUGUGCAGCUUCUCGUAGGUAAGUGCUUCUUUAAUUUAUCUGAUACCUGGAGGCUUUUCUGCUCUGCUGUUCAAAAUGCCUGGUCUUCCUGUCUAUCUGAACUUUCAAAAACUGGAUUCUAAUAUUCUCUUUGUUCUUCUCAAAAGACUCCACCACAAAAUUUGUUGCUCAGAUCUUUUACAGCCUAUUUCAAAACCAACAGUCUUGCUGAAAGCAUUCUGGUGGACUUGGUCCCUCUUAAUGUGUUAAUGCAACCCCCAGGACAAUCUGUCUGAGCCUGUGGGACAUUUUCUAUCACUAUAUGAUUUUUUUCAGAAAUCAAAACUAGUGUGUUUAUCUGAUAGAUUGUGAUAUAAUCAGUGGUUAGUUCAAGGACUCUGUUGCUGGUGUUAUGACAAGCUGUCUAGCCUGAAGUUCAUGAUGGUACCAAAAUAUCCAGAGCCAGUAGUCUAACCUGCCUUAAUCAUAAUUUAACCCCCCUAGUGUUAAUUAUCACUAUGACACCAGUUUAGGUGUCACAACUAAGAGCAAUAUUAUGCCUUUACCCACAUUCUGGUGGGAAUGUGUAGCUAAUUUUCAAAUGCUAAACACCAGCCCAGAUGUUCAGCUGCCAGUGACCCAAGGCUUGUUUUUGUGGUGGCACAGCUGUAAUGCCAUGGCUGAGUUUUACUCAGAAAGUUGUUGUCCAGAUGAUGCAAGAAAGAAUGUAAACCAUGUUAAAGUAAGUUCAGAGGCAGAAGUGAAAUUGUAGAGGCAGUAAUGGUUAGUUGGAAAAUACUGAGGAAGGGCAGAAGUUGCAACACCCUCAGAAAGAAGGCAGAGACUCAGCAGACAGCAUGGUGGCCAGAUGAGCAAUCGUGGCCCUCUCCAAAGAGGCAUGGGAGUGAAAACUCCCCUCUUGACCAACAGCUGCCUGCCUGCCCACCCAGCAAUAGCUGAAGUAGCCUGUAUUUAAGUACUUAUGUCAUAGUUAACACUUGAGUAAUACUUAGCUGAGUAGCCUGUUAGUUGUACCUGUCUCAUGUGUGUGUUAGUUGAUACAAACAACUGUGGUUGUUGCUGUGUGGUUUUAACCCUUGUGCUCUUUUGGCAUAGUACAAGGUGCCCAACAAACAAUGACCCAUUGAGAAGAGAUUGCAGGUGUGAGCACUAGUCCUGGCUCUCUCCCUCUGUCCCAGUCAUUUCUUCUUCCGACACAGUCAGACUUCAAGGCAUGAAGUUGCCAGAUACCACCAACUAAAAUGGAGAAGGAUAAUAUUAAUCACUAGAUGAUAUUGCUGUCUAACAGAAGGUGUUGCUGUAAUGUGAAGAAUUUUUUUCCAGGAGUAAGUGGUAUCAGCAGGCUCUCCCUAACCAUAUUUAAAGAGAGACUAAGCUAGGACAUCAAAUUCAGACAGUGCUUCUUUAACCAGAAGAAGGAAGGAAUAGGCUCUGACUAGAGGGGACAUUGAGCUUGGAUUUUAUACAUCCUGUUUCAAAUCAGAAUGAUAAAGUGAAAAACAGCAAGAUUGAAAACAGCUACCCUGCGUGACUGAAUUCUCCUAGAUGGGAAAUUGCAGUGUGCCUUUGAAAUGCUUCAACCCAUAGGCAUCAUAGACUGUGGGAUAGGGCAGGGGGAUAUGUUACUUCUCUGUAUAAAAUAGAAUUUUUCCUGUGUCUGGUACCACAUCCAUCAACACUGCAGAACAACAAAUCCCUGGGACAGUCAUGACUGGUUCUUCAUACAAGGGCAAGGAGAAAGGAGGAGAGAAAAAUAUCCCAUAGUAGGCACUAUUAAUUCUCACUAAUCAAUGGCAAAAUUCUUGAAAAGCUUAAUUUAAAGGAAACAACAUACAGUAUACAGAGAUCCCUGAUGGACAAAUUCAAGGACUGCUCCUACAUGAAGUCUGGGGAAAAUUUCACGUUAAACAUCAGGAACAGUAUUUCCACCUACAUUUGGCCAGUAUAGUUGCACCAUAGGGCUAUGUCUGUACAGUGCAGGUGUUUGCUUUGAGGACUUGGUAUCUCCAUUGUUCACAUUUUGGACUAGCUCUAGGCUUCCCACAGUAGACAUCCCACUGGAGUGCUCAGAGAUCAGCCCCCUGGGCAGCCCAAGGCAUCAUUAGAAACACGAUUAGGAGAUUUGCUUCACACACACUAAUCCAAUUUAAAGCGUUACUGUAUACACACCCAGACUGACAAGCUGUAAAAAUGCAUCCCUGAAGAGUUGUCUGCUUUGUGCCUGGCAGGCAAUGGACUUCAACACAAGCUGGAGAACCAGCCCCAGGUCCCAGCACUAUGUCUUCACGUGGAGGGCAGGGUGCAAGAACUGCACGUGUAUAUAGACAUCUCCAUGUGCAAUUAACUGUCCUGUGUUGUCAGGGAUGAAGGUCAGAGCAAAAGGUGAUAAAGUAAUCUCACUGAAUUUGUGAUUAUUGCAACACACAGGUGUACUGUACAGUAAAGGACGUGGAGUCCCACCUGGCAGGACUAAUACAAUAGGAUCUGAACAAGAACUGAAAUUUCUGCCCAUCACCUGGUUUGAUUUACAUUUUGCCUCUACAGGGAUGGUUAGAAGAUCAAUACCCGGGAGGGGAUGCACCAUGCAUUAUUUCUCCCCAAAUAAAUCACAGAUCCCCUAAUCUUCCAGCUGUGCGACCGCUGAUGGAGUGGCCACCAGGAUCGUAUCACUGUUUGCAGACGUUCCUCAAAGCAACUGAAACGAGACAUUCUCCAAAGUUAAAGACGGCAAGAUUAAUUUAUUAACUAUAACCAAAGGCAAAGAAAUCGAGCAUUGCGUGCUAAUAAUAAAUUGUAAGCAUACCAGUGAAGGCAGGAAACUGCAAUAAAAAUACGGUAGACACAGAACGAGACUGUGCGUCAAAGGAGUCCCUGUCGCCCGUGGGAAAAGCUCUCCGCUGCACCGCAGCACCUGUGGAGCAGGGUCAGGAGCGCGGUGAGUUGUUUAAGUGUGCCAUCUAGUGACUGAGGACUGCCCAUGGGCACGCACAAACAGCGCCUUCGUGUAAGAAUUCCUCGCGUUUCUCUGCUUCAGAACAUCUGUAUGUUACUGCAGUUGCUGGUAAUCUGGUUACUGGAGAAGGUAAGAGUUCAGCCUCUAGAGUCGACUUAUUCUCAGGUGGAGUCACUGAGCAUUCAACAGUGAUAAUCUGUAAUCUGUGAAAUAACUGCCUUACCCUGUGGGUGCCACAGUCAAUUCCUCAUUUGUGAAGAAAUGUGGAAAUGGGAGGGAAGGGGUAUGGAGGUGUGACACAUAAUUAUUUUAUCAUACUCCUUUUUUUUUUUUGGUUCCUUUUUAACCAGAGUGGAGAAUUAUCUCAAAUACAGUGAUUUUGACUUCAUGAGCAGGAUGAAGUUCCUUCUCAAGGUAUAGCACUAAAGACCCUGGAGAAACCAUAGAAUAAAAAGAAAUUAAAUGGGUAUGAACUGUAUUUCCCAUCAUAGCAAAAGAGGCUGAAGUUUGUGUUUGUGCCAUCCCACUGAUGUUGUGCUGAAACCGCUGAGGCUGCUGGGGAAUUCCAGCUGCAAUCCUUGAUGACUGGCACUCCUUCACUGACACUUCUCUGGUAGCUCCCCUUCCCUUGCUCUGUUGGUACCUUCUGCACAGGCAAGUUAAAAAGCUAAAUAUGUUAGCUGCAAAAAACUAAUCGAGUUGAUUUAGCUCCUACUGAUGUAUAGAACCACCAAACAGUGGACCAAACAAGCUUUUCUUGGGGAGAUACACAAUGCAGAUUUUACACAUAAGGAAAAAAAAAGGCAUUUUGCUCCUUGAGAGCACUACGGGGAAUGCUUAACAUAUUUUCCAUGAGAAAUACUUUGUUUUUCUGAUAAUUAUUUUCACAACUAAAAAAUUCACAUCUGUCAUAAUAUGACCUUUGUUGUGCUCUAGAAAAGCAAGAUGGGUAUUGAUUAUCUGAAAAAAAAAAUAUUGUUUGAAAGACAGGACAGUGUAGAAUACAGACCUAUGUGUUCUUCCACCUGCAAUACAGGAAAUACAGGAGGAGACACAAGAGCCAGGGGAAACACCACAUUGCAUAUACUUGCCAUUUUCAACCAUUACUGAUAGCUGGAAAAGAGAAAAAACCCUGCAAGUGCCUCAGGGAUGGGGACAGCUGUUGCACAUUGCUAAAAAGUCAGCUUGUAGCUUCCCAGGACUACAGGACAGAUAGGGGAGAUAGUAGGCCAAAUUUUACUAAUCAUCUCCCAUGGCAAUUUUUUUAAUGUUACACAACUGCAGGGGUUCUUCACCAGCUUCAGGUGGCUGAGGAAUGCAGUCAGAAGAUGUGAAAAUUUGAAAGUAAUUAAUGACGUGAUUUUAAUGAAAAACCAAACAGUCACUCUUGUCUCGCUUCUCCUUAGGAGAGGGUUUCAACAGAGAUUGCCUGCUCAUGUGGAGGGAAAGCAGCAGUACCAAGUCUCCUCUCAGCUACAAAAGUUUACAGAGAGGAUUUGCAAUAGCGUCAGGGAAAUCUCUUUAGACUGUUGGUGGAAAUCCAGCUUGAGGAUGGGAUAAGAGACCACUAUUAGCUUCCAGAAGCUGGCUGAUUUUCUGACACAUAAAUUAUACUGACAGCAAAGACUAUUGUGACCUCACAGCUUCUUACCUGAGGGCUAAGAGCUGCCUUGGGUCCUCAGCAGGCAGCCAAACAAGGUAGCAUUUCACAAGGAGGCUUUGUCAGACAUGCCCUGUUUUGGUGGUAAGGGCUCUUCUCUCCAGGCAAUUUAUGGGAAGGAGACUGUGAUUUUUGGGCCUUCAAUAAGACAAUUUCAAAGGGAGGAAGAAGCAUGAAAGAAGGGGUUGCCCGGUAGAAAGCAGCACGUAACCUAAAGAAUAAGAGAAGAAGAAAGAAACUGUUUGUUGAGCUUUAUCUACUUAAAGUUAUCCACAGACAGGCAACAGGCAGGACUUGGUCUGGCAGAUGACCCAACAGCUUUGAUCUUCCUUGCUUAUGCAGUGUGGGUUCUUCAGCAACUCCCAAGGCAGCUGGCACUGCAGAAAAAAAUAACCCCUGAGUUGCCAGGUGUGUCUUUUGUAACACAAUAGCUGCUCAGUAAGAACCAGAGGGAAAUGGCCAAUGUAUUUCUUGUGAAAUAAUGGUUACUUGACUAGAGCUUGAAAUUUGACCUUUUUUGGAAGUAAAAGAUAAGGUAUAUAGGGAAAAUAAAUAGUUUCUCAAAAAUAA